Molecule: long non-coding RNA, 1061 nt
Organism: Bufo bufo (common toad)
Lineage: Eukaryota; Metazoa; Chordata; Amphibia; Anura; Bufonidae
Exons: 3
Source: RefSeq, a predicted model, not a curated record
GCGAGAGGUCAGCACAGGAAUAGCAGAGUGAUGUGGGAUGAAGGUGUAGUGUGUAUGUGAGGUCAGCACAGGAAUAGCAGAGUAAUGCGGGAUGAAGGUGUAGUGUGUAUGUGAGAGGUCAGCAGAGGAAUAGCAGAGCGAUGUGGGAUGAAGGUGUAGUGUGUAUGUGAGGUCAGCACAGGAAUAGCAGAGCGAUGAAGGUGUAGUGUGUAUGUGAGAGAUCAGCACAGGAAUAGCAGAGUGAUGAAGGUGUAGUGUGUAUGUGAGGUCAGCACAGGAAUAGCAGAGUGAUGUGGGAUGAAGGUGUAGUGUGUAUGUGAGAGGUUAGCACAGGAAUAGCAGAUGGAUACGGGAUGAAGGUGUAGUGUGUAUGUGAGGGGUCAGCACAGGGAUAGCAGAGCGAUGAAGGUGUAGUGUGUAAGUGAGAGGUCAGCACAGGAAUAGCAGAGUGAUGUGGGAUGAAGGUGUAGUGUGUAUGUGAGAUCAGCACAGGAAUAGCAGAGUGAUACGGGAUGAAGGUGUAGUGUGUAUGUGAGAGGUCAGCACAGGAAUAGCAGAGUGAUGCGGGAUGAAGGUGUAGUGUGGAGGUGUAUGUGAGAGGUCAGCACAGGAAUAGCAGAGUGAUGCAGGAUGAAGGUGUAGUGUGUAUGCGAGAGGUCAGCACAGGAAUAGCAGAGUGAUGCAGGAUGAAGGUGUAGUGUGUAUGUGAGGGGUCAGCACAGGAAUAGCAGAGCGAUGUGGGCUGAAGGUGUAGUGUGUAUGUGAUAGAUCAGCACAGGAAUAGCAGAGUGAUGCAGGAUGAAGGUGUAGUGUGUAUGUGAUAGAUCAGCACAGGAAUAGCAGAGUGAUGCGGGAUGAAGGUGUAGUGUGUAUGCGAGAGGUCAGCACAGGAAUAGCAGAGCGAUGUGGGAUGAAGGUGUAGUGUGUAUGUGAUAGAUCAGCACAGGAAUAGCAGAGUGAUGCAGGAUGAAGGUGUAGUGUGUAUGCGAUAGAUCAGCACAGGAAUAGCAGAGCGAUGCAGGAUGAAGGUGUAGUGUGUAUGCAAUAGAUCAGCACAGGAA